This is a long non-coding RNA of Pyrus x bretschneideri (Chinese white pear), 3274 nucleotides long. RefSeq lists it as uncharacterized. The record is from RefSeq and is a predicted model, not a curated record. NCBI's taxonomy places the organism in Eukaryota, Viridiplantae, Streptophyta, Magnoliopsida, Rosales, Rosaceae. The transcript is spliced from 2 exons.
GCUGCAAUGUUGAAAGAGAUGCGCAUCGCAGGUUACGAACCAUUCUUGCGAAAGGUUGUGCUGUUCGUGCAGCGGAAUAGGUUGUGUAGGACGUUCAGUAGGGAAAGCUAAUUGAAAGGCAAAAUAUCCAAUGACACUAGCAAUAGCUACGAUUGAUACCACUGUCAUUACAAACUAACAUAACAAAAUGAAAAGUCAGAAGACCAUCCAACCUAGACAUAUCAACAAAUGAAUAUUACACAAAAACUGAACAAUUGCAUAGAAAAUGAAUUACCAGAAACCCUGCGAGGAGAGAAUGGUAUAGCAAGGAUAUAGCGUUGGUAAUGAAAGAUACAAUGGUUCUGCACCCAUAUAUGUAUAGCCUAACGAAACCUCUUAGCAAAUGCCACAUACCACACUUAAGUGGCAAGUGACACCAAUUCCGCCUCCAAGAAUCUAGUACAACACACAAACCCCACUUAGGAAACUUAAUAAGACCUUAUUAUAUAGGUGCAGAACCAUUGUAUCUUUCAUUCCCAACACGUAUAUCCUUGCUAUACCAUUCUCUCCCUGCAGGAUUUCUGGUAAUUCAUUUUCUAUGCAAUUGUUUAGUUAUUGUAUAAUAUUCAUUUGUUGAUAUGUCUAGGUUGGAUGGUCUUUUGACUUUUCAUUUUGUUAUGUUAGUUUGUAAUGACAGUGGUAUCAAUCGUAGCUGUUGCUAGUGUCAUUGGAUAUUUUACCUUUCAAUUAGUUUUCCUUGUUGAAUGUCCUACACAACCUAUUCCGCUGCACGAAUAGCAUGACCUUCCGCAAGAAUGGUUUGUAACCGUGACGCGCAUCUUGUUCAACAUUACAGCUUGCUCUGAGGUUCCUACAGAACAUGCUAGGUCACUGGCGAAUUACAGGUGCAAUUGUGAUUACUGGAGCUGCAUAGUGUUAUUGCUAGAGUUGCAGGUGUUGUUCCAAAUAUAGCUAUCAAAGUUUCUCCCCUAGACUUCCUUAUGGCCCAAGGUCAUCGUAUUCCGACGUAUGUCUAUGUUGUUAUUGAAGCCAUCCAACUCGGCGCUAUACCAUACGAAGAUGUAUGGAAUUACGUGUCAGACACUGCCAAUCGCUUUAAGACUAUGACCCACAGUGUAAUAGAGAAGGAUCUGGCCUCAGUCGAGCCCUUGAAUAAUGGUUGACACCAGAUGAUUUGAUGCUUUUAUGUUUGUAUCUAGAAUCUCGAAACUGAGUUUUUGAUAGUUUACUUAGUUUAGAAACUCAAUUCUUUAAUGUGUUUAGAAACUCAGUUUAGAAACCCAAGGCAUUGAUUUAUUUAGAAACUGAGUUUUUGAUAUGUUUACUUAGUUUAGAAACUCAGCUCUCCACCGCGGACCACUAUUCCCACAAGGCAUUCCAUCAAACUACUUCUCUUUCUACCCCACAAACCCCUAAGCAACCUCCUGACUUUGGUUUCUUCCCCGGCUUUUGCAACUUAGAGAGCCACUUAUUUUUUCCAAUGUUUCUCUUUAGCCCCAAGUCUUCAAAGAUGUUUCCGGGCAAUGGAGAGCUAGAGUCCAUUGUGAUACUGAUAUCCAUCGUGGCAUGAGACAGAGAUGUGGAAAGAUCUACAAAGAUCCCGAGCCCACUUGGGCUAUCAGGUUGGCCCCCAAUUAAUAAUCUAUCCCCAUCUUGGGACUAUCAUGUAUUAUGGGCAUAUUCAAAUUACUACUCCCGUCCGAACUCUUAUAUGAUCACCCUUCUCCAUUUUGCUUGGUGUCAGGGAUCUAGAUGGAAAUUACGGUUGUCCUCGUAGCCCUUUCUUUCCACCAAGAAUUUCUGUUCCUUUACGUGCCAACUUGCCGACGUCCCAUCUUAUAUAUGUCUUAUCUCUUUUAUGUUGAUUUUAGAUUUAUAUCAGCUUUUUACAUUUUUUGUUAUAUUUAUUUGUUUUUACAUACUUUUAUUUAUUUUAACAUAGAACUCGUUAAACUCCCGGUCGAUCUGUAUUUCAAAUCGGCAUGGAGUCGAACAGGCUCUGGGCCGUAAAACUAUCCGGAUCGGGACAGAUCAGUCGGAUCGUGUGGGAUUCUUAAUCUACUCCGAUCAGCUUGUAAAAUUCCUUAUAAAUAUAGAUGCAUAAUAACAAUUUCAGUAUCUUGCAAGAACCGUAACAAACCUAUCUCGCGCAUUUGCUCUCAAGAACCCAAUGAACCGAUCUCGCGCUUCCGAUCUCCUGCAAUUGACAAGGUGUCUGCAAUUGUCGUUGCUUUUUUGAGUUGGCUGACAUCUGCUGUUGAUGCGAUCAAUUUCGAUCCACUAAGGCAUAAGUAACAUUACCUUUCCUUGCCAAAUUGAAUUAUUUUCGAACAAUUUCUUGUUUUUGAUUAGGGUUUAAUUUUGGAUUUGUGUUUUGUUGGGUGUUUGUUCCUAAAAUUGGAUCUUUCUUUAAUUCUUUCUUUUAAUGUGAUAUCUGCGUAUCUUUUUCAACCCUAUCAGAUUUAACUUAAUAUUUAAUUUAGAAUUGUUAUCUCAUUGAAACAGUUGUUUUCAGGUAAAAAAAUUGGACUUAAUAGUUGAUUUUUUUUUUUUUUUUUGUUCAUUUAGAUGUUUUGAUCUAUUUUCUUUCAUAGUUCAAAAUCUUCAGUCAUUUCCUUAACGGUUCUUCGAUUUGCUUUUUAAAUGUUUGAUAACUGCAUGUUUUUUUUUAUCAGAUUGAUAUCUUCAGAAUCUUUGAUUGAAUUGUUUAGACUUGUUUUAACUUCAUAUCUAAGUUGUGAUAAGUCUCUAUUUAUUAGGGUUUAGUUGUGUUUCCCCUAUUAGGUUUAACUAGCAAUGGUGCCCGCGUGAUGCUGCGGGUUUUAAAACCAUAUUAAACAUGGAGAGAGUUCUAAAUACCUAUGAUAUACAACACUAUUUGCAUUCAUGUGGAAAUCUAUUUACAACGAUAUGUUCAACAACUAACAUAUAUGUGCCUAUAUUGUAGUCAUUGGUUUCUGGUGCGAAGUUCACGGAUUUGCAGAACCAGAAGGGAAGAAUUGCUGUACAAAGUUAAAUCAAUGGUAUAUACUACUACAACUAUUAAAAUUAAAACAAAAUUCAAGUUUUUGUAUUGAAAUUUAAUUGGGUUUAUGCGAUAAUUAAUCGCUCAAACAAAUAAAAUUGAUAAAAUGAAUUGAUGAUGGUACCUCAAAUUGUCCAGAAUUGCUAACGGAGGGGAUGAGCUUUGCAAUGUGAAGGGAUACAUCAUUGUCAUUGUUAAUUAAGUAUAUAGUAACUUCUAUAGAAACUUCAAUUACAUCUUCAUGUUCCA